UGCUGGAGCCUCUGCAGUUGUCGCCUAUGCAGACUCGCGAGUAAAUGCAACCCAUGGAGAGAAAAGGAACGAAAUUGGAGUAAACCCAGAUGCUAAAUUUGGCAUGAAGAGAUUGGAGCAGGUAGAGAGAGAGAAAGGGUAAGUAAAAGUUGUGUCCUAAUCUGAAAUCUCAAUUAUUAGGAUGAAGGAAUUUGGCUGAGGUUGGAGAGCCACAAAAUGUUUGCAAUAAAUGAGCAUGAAGCAUGAUGAAUCAGAUUAUGCUAACUGUGAGAAGUAGUAGUAAUUGUAAAUCGUGUGUGCUUUGUUGUUGUUGAUGAUGCAGUGUUCAAAAAUGGCUGCUACCAAAUGGAGUUUAGUGGUUGAUUGGAAGAGAAGGCCAAAAGAUAAAGGGUUAGUGUUAGUGUUAAACACUAGAAGUAGAGGAAUAAUUAACAGUGGAUGAGAAUGAGAAAUGG
This 455-nucleotide long non-coding RNA is filed under the name Phaseolus vulgaris (common bean). Its description in RNAcentral is "long non-coding RNA (PVUL_LNC003717)". The record is from RNAcentral. Lineage: Eukaryota; Viridiplantae; Streptophyta; Magnoliopsida; Fabales; Fabaceae.